GAUGAACGCUGGCGGCGUGCCUAAUACAUGCAAGUCGAGCGAACAGACGCGGAUCUUGCUCCUCUGUCGUUAGCGGCGCACGGGAGAGUCACACGUGUAUACCCUCCCUAUCAUACUGAUAUCACCUCGGGACACCGGCGCUAAUACCAGAUAAUCUCUUGCACCACAUUGUUCAAUAGUGAAAUUCGGUUUUGCUGUCACUUCUCGCUGGAUCCGCGCCGCAUUAGCUAGUUGGUAGGGUAACGGCUUACCAAGGCAACGAUGCGUAGCCGACGUGAGAGGGGGGUCGGCCACACGGGAACGGAGACACGGUCCAUACGCCUACGGGAGGCAGCAGUAGGGAAUCUUCCGCAAUGGGCGAAAGCCUGACGGAGCAACGCGGCGUGAGUGAUGAAGGUCUUCGGAUCGUAAAACUCUGUUAUGAGGUAAGAACAAAUGUGGAAGUAGCUAUGCACGGCGUGACGGUACCUAAUCAGAAAGCAACGGCUAACUACGUG
Molecule: ribosomal RNA, 497 nt
Filed under: uncultured bacterium
Lineage: Bacteria
Description: partial 16S ribosomal RNA
Rfam family: Bacterial small subunit ribosomal RNA
Source: RNAcentral